Long non-coding RNA from Patiria miniata (bat star), 1539 nucleotides. RefSeq lists it as uncharacterized. The record is from RefSeq and is a predicted model, not a curated record. Lineage: Eukaryota; Metazoa; Echinodermata; Asteroidea; Valvatida; Asterinidae. The transcript has 3 exons.
GAUUCGAUGCUGAUAGCAAACAUUUGGCAGAUUUUCUUUUUCAUGUGGACAGUAGACCAAGUCCAAUCUCGUGAAAGUUCAACCGGUGAUGUUUAUCAGUAUUCUCUGGGUUGGCCACUUUUGACAUGUCCGCCGAUCGUAAUACACGUUUGGGCCUAACUCCUGGCGCCUAAAAAAAAACCUGUCACGGCCAACGUAGCGCACGCAGUGAGUUGCAUCUCGGAGCUGGCACAGAUCUCAGCGUGGUAUAUACCCUGUAUAGCACAGCAUGCAGCUGUGGGGUUUACUUCUAGCCAGUCUUCUGGUGUUUUCCCACCUCGAUCGGUCAGACUCUGGAAUUGUACGAGUGCGGAGGAGCGGAGGCAAUGGUAUCAAGAAAGAUGGUAAUUGUCCACCGGUGAAUAGUGAAGUUGUGCAAAGUUUCAUCGGAUUCUACCCGUGCCCAAAUGAUUGCCGAAUCGAAAUUUCCGACUACGAUUGCCCGGGGAUAUUGAAAUGUUGCCCAACAGGCUGCGACGGCUCGAGCUUCUCAUGUAUGGUACCAGACGCUCCCUGAUGACGAGAUUCCUGUAAUAAAUGAGAACAGGCAAGAUGGAGUGUUUGAACGGCUUCCCAACCUCUGGACAUUUACCCUACCUGCCGUAUGUCGGGAAUUAUAUAUUAAAAAAACAAACCAGAAGGGUUCAUCGAAGACCCUUGGAAACCACUGAAAAAAAAUACAGGUUAUUUAAUAAUAUAGAAACUUUCAUAUGUUAUACUAAAUAUAGUGAAAUGUAUUCGAAUGUUAUCCGAGUGAUUGUAUUGCCUUGUUUUAUUUCGUUUUAUUUUUAAUUUGAAAUUAUUUUGAUUUAGUUUAUUUUAAUUAAAAAAAAUACACACAUUUCAGAGAUACAAAUGAGGAAAGUGUAAUACUGCAAUUUCGCUUGCUGAAAGUCAUGAUGUGAUGACAACAUCAAAUUUUGUAUGUAAGUAUGGCAUGUUCUAUACAUAAGGUACAUGUACACCUAUCUGUUGUAUUAUAAAAAAAAAUAACCUAGGUAAUUAAUAUUCCUAAGUGCAUAGUAUAUUAGUUUAUUUUUAAUAUAAUUAUGUAUUGUCUGUAACCCAGAUGUAUUCCACGUAAACAAAAUAUAUUGAGCUUGCAUAAAAUGUUUGGUGAAGACAUAUUUCAAUGUACUCCUUAUUUUCAAAUGAUCUUCCGCUCGUGAAACCCUGUAUACCAUGAUUUUUGUCAUAAAAGUAAUGCAAAGGCAAACAAUGUAUAUUGGAGAGUUUAAGUUUGACGUACUGGGCGCUAGUAUGGCGGGAAAAUUCAGAUGUUCGUCUGAAAAAAUGUAAAUGCAACAGUUUCAGACUGUGAUUUUGACUGUGAAUACCAUCAUGGCAAAUGCACAAUUACUUUAAUAUACAACACAAUCAUGAAAACCAGGGAGGAUAGGAUUCAGUGCAAUGGGGUGAUUGGGGAAGGAAAUGAGGGAAGUAGAGUUGUAAUGACUCGACUCGAGUCACAAUUUUUGGUGACUUGACUCCUAUCGAGUC